GCGCCCCUCGAUUCCCCGGUCCAGCAGCACGCGGCGCGCACCCGAAAGGCAGCGCGCGGCGCACCCUAGCCGGGCCGCGAUGCCCACGGCUAACGUGCGCGCGGCGCAGCCUAGCGCCGACCGCAGGUUAAGUACGCUGGUGCGCCACCUGCUGCCUUCUUCCCCACGAACAUCGCCACCAGCAGCAGCAGCAGCGACCGCCACCUCCGCCGACUCCCUCCAACCUUUCCCCACCAUGGCGUCGCCCUCCGUCUUCGCCGGGAUCGCCCAGGGCCCGGAGGACCCC
This 286-nucleotide long non-coding RNA is filed under the name Hordeum vulgare. RNAcentral's name for it is "long non-coding RNA (HVUL_LNC007745)". Lineage: Eukaryota; Viridiplantae; Streptophyta; Magnoliopsida; Poales; Poaceae. The record is from RNAcentral.